RNAcentral lists this ribosomal RNA (1550 nucleotides) under Klebsiella quasipneumoniae. RNAcentral's name for it is "16S ribosomal RNA". It matches the Rfam family "Bacterial small subunit ribosomal RNA". RNAcentral also lists the same sequence under 1 other name. The record is from RNAcentral. Lineage: Bacteria; Pseudomonadati; Pseudomonadota; Gammaproteobacteria; Enterobacterales; Enterobacteriaceae.
AAAUUGAAGAGUUUGAUCAUGGCUCAGAUUGAACGCUGGCGGCAGGCCUAACACAUGCAAGUCGAGCGGUAGCACAGAGAGCUUGCUCUCGGGUGACGAGCGGCGGACGGGUGAGUAAUGUCUGGGAAACUGCCUGAUGGAGGGGGAUAACUACUGGAAACGGUAGCUAAUACCGCAUAAUGUCGCAAGACCAAAGUGGGGGACCUUCGGGCCUCAUGCCAUCAGAUGUGCCCAGAUGGGAUUAGCUAGUAGGUGGGGUAACGGCUCACCUAGGCGACGAUCCCUAGCUGGUCUGAGAGGAUGACCAGCCACACUGGAACUGAGACACGGUCCAGACUCCUACGGGAGGCAGCAGUGGGGAAUAUUGCACAAUGGGCGCAAGCCUGAUGCAGCCAUGCCGCGUGUGUGAAGAAGGCCUUCGGGUUGUAAAGCACUUUCAGCGGGGAGGAAGGCGAUAAGGUUAAUAACCUUGUCGAUUGACGUUACCCGCAGAAGAAGCACCGGCUAACUCCGUGCCAGCAGCCGCGGUAAUACGGAGGGUGCAAGCGUUAAUCGGAAUUACUGGGCGUAAAGCGCACGCAGGCGGUCUGUCAAGUCGGAUGUGAAAUCCCCGGGCUCAACCUGGGAACUGCAUUCGAAACUGGCAGGCUAGAGUCUUGUAGAGGGGGGUAGAAUUCCAGGUGUAGCGGUGAAAUGCGUAGAGAUCUGGAGGAAUACCGGUGGCGAAGGCGGCCCCCUGGACAAAGACUGACGCUCAGGUGCGAAAGCGUGGGGAGCAAACAGGAUUAGAUACCCUGGUAGUCCACGCCGUAAACGAUGUCGAUUUGGAGGUUGUGCCCUUGAGGCGUGGCUUCCGGAGCUAACGCGUUAAAUCGACCGCCUGGGGAGUACGGCCGCAAGGUUAAAACUCAAAUGAAUUGACGGGGGCCCGCACAAGCGGUGGAGCAUGUGGUUUAAUUCGAUGCAACGCGAAGAACCUUACCUGGUCUUGACAUCCACAGAACUUAGCAGAGAUGCUUUGGUGCCUUCGGGAACUGUGAGACAGGUGCUGCAUGGCUGUCGUCAGCUCGUGUUGUGAAAUGUUGGGUUAAGUCCCGCAACGAGCGCAACCCUUAUCCUUUGUUGCCAGCGGUUAGGCCGGGAACUCAAAGGAGACUGCCAGUGAUAAACUGGAGGAAGGUGGGGAUGACGUCAAGUCAUCAUGGCCCUUACGACCAGGGCUACACACGUGCUACAAUGGCAUAUACAAAGAGAAGCGACCUCGCGAGAGUAAGCGGACCUCAUAAAGUAUGUCGUAGUCCGGAUUGGAGUCUGCAACUCGACUCCAUGAAGUCGGAAUCGCUAGUAAUCGUAGAUCAGAAUGCUACGGUGAAUACGUUCCCGGGCCUUGUACACACCGCCCGUCACACCAUGGGAGUGGGUUGCAAAAGAAGUAGGUAGCUUAACCUUCGGGAGGGCGCUUACCACUUUGUGAUUCAUGACUGGGGUGAAGUCGUAACAAGGUAACCGUAGGGGAACCUGCGGUUGGAUCACCUCCUUACCUUAAAGAA